RNAcentral lists this ribosomal RNA (515 nucleotides) under uncultured Gram-positive bacterium. Its description in RNAcentral is "bacterial SSU rRNA". It matches the Rfam family "Bacterial small subunit ribosomal RNA", at positions 8 to 521 of the family's 1533-position model. The record is from RNAcentral.
AGAGUUUGAUCCUGGCUCAGGAUGAACGCUGGCGGCGUGCUUAACACAUGCAAGUCGAACGAAACACCUUAUCUGAUUUUCUUCGGAACUGAAGAUUUGGUGAUUGAGUGGCGGACGGGUGAGUAACGCGUGGGUAACCUGCCCUGUACAGGGGGAUAACAGUCAGAAAUGACUGCUAAUACCGCAUAAGACCACAGCACCGCAUGGUGCAGGGGUAAAAACUCCGGUGGUACAGGAUGGACCCGCGUCUGAUUAGCUGGUUGGUGAGGUAACAGCUCACCAAGGCGACGAUCAGUAGCCGGCUUGAGAGAGUGAACGGCCACAUUGGGACUGAGACACGGCCCAAACUCCUACGGGAGGCAGCAGUGGGGAAUAUUGCACAAUGGGGGAAACCCUGAUGCAGCGACGCCGCGUGAGUGAAGAAGUAUCUCGGUAUGUAAAGCUCUAUCAGCAGGGAAGAAAAUGACGGUACCUGACUAAGAAGCCCCGGCUAACUACGUGCCAGCAGCCGCGGU